RNAcentral lists this non-coding RNA (23 nucleotides) under Cricetulus griseus (Chinese hamster). The record is from RNAcentral. Lineage: Eukaryota; Metazoa; Chordata; Mammalia; Rodentia; Cricetidae.
CCAUUAGAAUAGUCCCUAUAAGU